CCAAGUGUUUGCACCAGGAUUGUUGCAGUUUACCAUCAGCAGGCCUUAACAACUUGUAUAAACAACCGGUCUGAACAACUACUAAGAAACUGAAUCAUUUUUUUCUAUGGAAUUUCUUUGUCCAUUUUCAAACGUUCCAGAUUUGACUAUAUAUUAUGGGUAUUUUGGAGGGGAUUUGAUUUAAAGGAACAACUUUCAUAAACAUUAUAGAAAUACUAUGGAAGAAAGCAUUGUAAUGCAAUAUAAUGAUAUGAUAACAACUGUCCAAGUUUGAACUGAUGAACUUCUCGCAUUCACUAACAAUUUUACCUGCAAAAGAUAACAUUUAAUCAAUGCC
Long non-coding RNA from Argiope bruennichi, 337 nucleotides. RefSeq lists it as uncharacterized. The record is from RefSeq and is a predicted model, not a curated record. Lineage: Eukaryota; Metazoa; Arthropoda; Arachnida; Araneae; Araneidae. The transcript is spliced from 4 exons.